CAAUGAAGCGUACGUGGUGGAUGCCUUGGCAGCUAGAGGCGAUGAAGGACGUUGUAGACUACGAAAAGCUUCGGGGAGCAGUCAAACAUGCUUUGAUCCGGAGGUGUCCGAAUGGGGAAACCCACCCAAUUUAUUGGGUAUCACUUACUGAAUACAUAGGUAAGUGAGGCGAACGCGGAGAACUGAAACAUCUAAGUACCCGAAGGAAAAGAAAUCAACCGAGAUUCCCAGAGUAGCGGCGAGCGAAAUGGGAUUAGCCCUUAAGUUACAGAUGGUUUAGCGGAAUGAGCUGGAAAGCUCGGCGAUAGAGGGUGAUAGCCCCGUACGCGAAAGGCCAUUUGUGAUGAAAUCGAGUAGGUCGGAACACGUGAAAUUCUGACUGAAUAUGGGGGGACCAUCCUCCAAGGCUAAAUACUACUGACUGACCGAUAGUGAACUAGUACCGUGAGGGAAAGAUGAAAAGAACCCCGAUAAGGGGAGUGAAAUAGAAUUUGAAACCGCAUACUUACAAGCAGUGAGAGGGCUAUUGUAAAGCUUGAUCACGUACCUCUUGCAUUAUGAUCUAGUGAGUUACGAUGUGUAGCCAGGUUAAGCCGUUAGGUGUAGCCGUAGGGAAACCG
Molecule: ribosomal RNA, 620 nt
Filed under: Pseudo-nitzschia fraudulenta
Lineage: Eukaryota; Bacillariophyta; Bacillariophyceae; Bacillariales; Bacillariaceae
Description: partial Bacterial large subunit ribosomal RNA
Rfam family: Bacterial large subunit ribosomal RNA
Source: RNAcentral